AAAUAGAUACCCUGGUAGUCCAUGCCGUAAACGUUGGGCGCUAGAUGUGGGGACCAUUCCGACGGUUUCCGUGUCGCAGCUAACGCAUUAAGCGCCCCGCCUGGGGAGUACGGCCGCAAGGCUAAAACUCAAAGGAAUUGACGGGGGCCCGCACAAGCGGCGGAGCAUGCGGAUUAAUUCGAUGCAACGCGAAGAACCUUACCAAGGCUUGACAUAUACGAGAACGCUCUAGAAAUAGAGAACUCUUUGGACACUCGUAUACAGGUGGUGCAUGGUUGUCGUCAGCUCGUGUCGUGAGAUGUUGGGUUAAGUCCCGCAACGAGCGCAACCCUCGUUCUAUGUUGCCAGCGGUUCGGCCGGGAACUCAUAGGAGACUGCCGGGGUCAACUCGGAGGAAGGUGGGGAUGACGUCAAAUCAUCAUGCCCCUUAUGUCUUGGGGCUUCACGCAUGCUACAAUGGCCGGUACAAAGGGCUGCAAUACCGUAAGGUGGAGCGAAUCCCAAAAAGCCGGUCUCAGUUCGGAUUGAGGU
This 531-nucleotide ribosomal RNA is filed under the name uncultured bacterium. RNAcentral's name for it is "bacterial SSU rRNA". It matches the Rfam family "Bacterial small subunit ribosomal RNA", at positions 776 to 1304 of the family's 1533-position model. The record is from RNAcentral.